AGUGAACGCUGGCGGUAUGCCUAACACAUGCAAGUCGAACGGCAGCACAGGAGCUCUUGCUCUCAGGGGGGCGAGUGGCGGACGGGUGAGGAAUACAUCGGAAUCUGCGCAGUCGGGGGGGAUAACGGAGAGAUACGUACGCUAAUACCUCAUACGACCUUCGGGUGGAAGAGGGGGAUCGCAAGACCUCUCGCGAUUGGAUCGGCCGAUGUCGGAUUAGCUAGUUGGCGGGGUAAUGCCCAACCAAGGCGGCGAACCGUAGCUGGUGUGAGCGGCUGAUCAGCCACCUUGGAGGGUGGACACGGACAAGAGUCCUACGGGAGGCAGCAGUGGGGAAUAGUAGACAAUGGGCGCAAGUCUGAUCCAGCCAUACCGAGUGGGUGACGGAGGCGUCGGGUUGGUAAAGACCUUCUGUUGGGAAAGAAAUCCUUCCGGUUAAUACGAUGGGAGGGUGACGGUACCCAAAGAAUAAGCACCGGCUAACUUCGUG
RNAcentral lists this ribosomal RNA (490 nucleotides) under uncultured bacterium. Its description in RNAcentral is "partial 16S ribosomal RNA". It matches the Rfam family "Bacterial small subunit ribosomal RNA", at positions 30 to 507 of the family's 1533-position model. The record is from RNAcentral.